RNAcentral lists this ribosomal RNA (271 nucleotides) under uncultured bacterium. Its description in RNAcentral is "partial 16S ribosomal RNA". It matches the Rfam family "Bacterial small subunit ribosomal RNA", at positions 524 to 794 of the family's 1533-position model. The record is from RNAcentral.
GACGUAGGUGGCGAGCGUUGUUCGGAAUCACUGGGCAUAAAGCGCGCGUAGGCUGCUUUUCAAGUCGGGUGUGAAAGCCCUCGGCUCAACCGAGGAACUGCGCCCGAUACUGAAAGGCUUGAGGGCUGGAGGGGAGAGUGGAAUUCCCGGUGGAGCGGUGAAAUGCGUAGAGAUCGGGAAGAACGCCGGCGGCGAAAGCGACUCUCUGGUCAGCCCCUGACGCUGAGGCGCGAAAGCUAGGGGAGCAAACGGGAUUAGAAACCCUAGUAGU